CUGUUAUAUAAUCUUGUUGGUGGUUCUAGUUUCAGCAUCACACUUGUAAUUUCAGGUUUUGUAAUUGCUUCUUCCAUUUCUCGUACAAUUGUGCUUGGAAACUUCAUUUCCUUUUGUUUCUUUCACCAGCACUUAUUGGAAACAUAUGUUCCUUUUUCAAUAUAAGAUAAACCCAAUAGUCUAGCAUGCAUGAUGUCAUAAUUUCUCCAGACCAAUUUUUUUAAAUUGAAUUCGAAACAGUUGGUCUGACAAUUGUUCUUGGACAUGCUUAACGCAGAGGAUCUUCAUCUGAAGAUAAAACAAUUUAAGUUCUUUAGAUAUAAAAGAGUAGGAGAAUAAAGCUAAAAAGAGCAUACAUAUAUAAAAAAAAUAAGAAUACUUUGAUUUCUCGAAAGUAUUAAGUACAUCCCUCAAUCGAAAGAUACCAAAGAAUCUCAAAGUAACUAAAGCAAUGCAAAGCCCUGCCCCGCAGAACUUGUUUGACUGCUAAAGUAAGACAGAAAUAUAAAAAAGAAUUGAUUAACCAAUUAAAGAUAAAUAGCAAUCAAACUAUCAUAAUCUACACAUGAAGUAGCCAUGAAUAAUUCCAAAUUUACAGGUACUGAAAUUUUAGUAGAUAAAAUGUAUAAUUGAUUGAAAAUAUACCUUGACGAAAAUUGUCGCGCAGAUUUCUUCAGUUGUCAUUGAGAAUAACUUUUUUCUAAGAUCACUAGAAAU
This 717-nucleotide long non-coding RNA is filed under the name Nicotiana tabacum (common tobacco). RNAcentral's name for it is "long non-coding RNA (NTAB_LNC006693)". Lineage: Eukaryota; Viridiplantae; Streptophyta; Magnoliopsida; Solanales; Solanaceae. The record is from RNAcentral.